RNAcentral lists this transfer RNA (70 nucleotides) under Truepera sp. RNAcentral describes it as "tRNA-OTHER". Lineage: Bacteria; Thermotogati; Deinococcota; Deinococci; Trueperales; Trueperaceae. The record is from RNAcentral.
GCGCCCGCCUUGGACGGGGCCCAGUUUCGCAAACUGGGCAACGAGGGUUCAAUCCCCUCCGGGCGCACCA